This is a non-coding RNA of Oncorhynchus mykiss (rainbow trout), 1359 nucleotides long. The record is from RefSeq and is a predicted model, not a curated record. NCBI's taxonomy places the organism in Eukaryota, Metazoa, Chordata, Actinopteri, Salmoniformes, Salmonidae.
CAUAUUCUAAGUCCGAACCGUCCAGAGUAGUGACGCUGGACGGGCGGGCAGGUAUGGGCAGCGAUCGGUUGAUUUAAUUUUACUUGCAUUCACAGUUUUUCUCAAUUGCUAAAACACUAAAACCCAUUGGCUGAACAAAGUUCUCAGUUGCCUGGACUCAUUUAGCUAAUUAUGCAGUCUGUUAUCAGUACCUUAAACCAUUUCACAUGGUAAAACACAAUUUUCAGAUCUCACUUAGUCUUUUCAGCAAAACUAUAAACACAUUCUCAUUCUCAAAACACAUUCUGCACUCUAAUGCACAUGUCAUCCAUACUGGUAAACACAAGUGGCAAUCAAAUACAAGUAGAGAAGACAUGUCAUUGAUUCAACACAAGCACUCAAAAUUGAUUUAACCUGUUUCAAAUGAUGCGACACAACCUAUAUAAGCCAGUUCAGAGAGCAAACAGGAUGUUGAAGGUGGGAAGGAGAAAGUCUGAGAAUGGAUAGAAGAAACAAUGUGAGAGGACGAGGACGAGUGCGUAUGCGAGGUGGGCGACAAGGAGGAGGGCAAGAAAGACGAAGAGGAGGACGAAGAGGAAGAGGAAGACAAAGAGUGGAAAUAUCUGAUAAAAUUCAAGCAACAGUUAUAGACCAUGUUCUUGUCCAUGGACUGACAAUGAGGGAAGCAGGACUUAGAGUGCAACCCAAUUUGAGCCGAUUUUCUGUGUCCACCAUAGUAAGGACAUUCAGAGAAGAGAACAGAAUUGCAAGGUUGCCACAUGCAGGUGGAAGGACAGCUAUAUUCACUCAGCAGCAAGAGGCCCUUAUAGUUGGCAUGGUCCUUCAAUACGACUCAGAGAAAUCCAGGAACGAGUGAUACAAGACAACACACACUUCCAGGGAAUUGACAGUGUGAGCAUUUCCACAAUUGACCGUGUCCUCCAUCAUAACAGGAUGCGAAUGAAACAAGUAUACAGAGUACCUUUUGAGCACAACUCACCAAGGGUGAAAGAACUGCGAGCUCAGUAUGUACAAGUACUACAAUAUUUGACUUGGAAUCCUUGGACAGACCCCAUGAGUUCAUCUUCGUCGAUGAAGCAAGCUUCAAUCUAACAAAGAGGAGAAGGAGAGGCCAAAACAUGAUUGGACAGCGGGCCAUUGUUGAAGUCCCUGGUUAACGAGGUGGCAAUGUCACAAUCUGUGCUGCAACCAUGGUGUUCUACAUCAUCAUGUUAGGCCAUAUAACACCCAGCACCUUCUAAGACUUAUUGCCAAUCUAAGAGAUAUUUUAUUUGAGCAGCAGGUUCAAGAGCAGCAGGGUCAAGAGCUAAAUGAGAAUCCAAUUCCCACCUAUGUGAUAGUGUGGGACAAUGUCAGUUU